This 493-nucleotide ribosomal RNA is filed under the name Bradyrhizobium sp. Z0-YC6833. Its description in RNAcentral is "bacterial SSU rRNA". It matches the Rfam family "Bacterial small subunit ribosomal RNA", at positions 137 to 660 of the family's 1533-position model. Lineage: Bacteria; Pseudomonadati; Pseudomonadota; Alphaproteobacteria; Hyphomicrobiales; Nitrobacteraceae. The record is from RNAcentral.
UUCGGAACAACACAGGGAAAACUUGUUGCUUAUAUACCGGAUAAGCCCUUACGGGGAAAGAUUUAUCGCCGAAAGAUCGGCCCGCGUCUGAUUAGCUAGUUGGUGGGGUAAUGGCCCACCAAGGCGACGAUCAGUAGCUGGUCUGAGAGGAUGAUCAGCCACAUUGGGACUGAGACACGGCCCAAACUCCUACGGGAGGCAGCAGUGGGGAAUAUUGGACAAUGGGGGCAACCCUGAUCCAGCCAUGCCGCGUGAGUGAUGAAGGCCCUAGGGUUGUAAAGCUCUUUUGUGCGGGAAGAUAAUGACGGUACCGCAAGAAUAAGCCCCGGCUAACUUCGUGCCCGCAGCCGCGGUAAUACGAAGGGGGCUAGCGUUGCUCGGAAUCACUGGGCGUAAAGGGUGCGUAGGCGGGUCUUUAAGUCAGGGGUGAAAUCCUGGAGCUCAACUCCAGAACUGCCUUUGAUACUGAAGAUCUUGAGUUCGGGAGAGGUGA